This 247-nucleotide ribosomal RNA is filed under the name uncultured bacterium. RNAcentral's name for it is "partial 16S ribosomal RNA". It matches the Rfam family "Bacterial small subunit ribosomal RNA", at positions 85 to 334 of the family's 1533-position model. The record is from RNAcentral.
UAGAUGGCGACCGGCGCACGGGUGAGUAACACGUAUCCAACCUGCCGAUAACUCGGGGAUAGCUUUCGAAAGAAAGAUUAAUACCCGAUGGUAUAAUCAGACCGCAUGGUUUGAUUAUUAAAGAAUUUCGGUUAUCGAUGGGGAUGCGUUCCAUUAGGCAGUUGGUGAGGUAACGGCUCACCAAACCUUCGAUGGAUAGGGGUUCUGAGAGGAAGGUCCCCCACAUUGGAACUGAGACACGGUCCAA